UUUGUGUUUUACACACUUUCAUAAUUCUGUUAUGAUAGUGUUUUUUGUGUUUCUUUUUGCGUUUGUGCCAAGCAAAACCGUUAUGAUUAGUCUUGGGGAUGAUCGUUUGGUCAUGCUUGAAAAGACAGAAACUUUCUGCUCACGAAAAGAAUUUUCGUUUUUGUUCUGUAAGAGAUUUGGAGUUGAUUCUUUUUGCUGAUGAUUUCUACGCAAAUUCUUCAGAAUGUCGUAAUGUUUCAGAAUUUUUGAAGUACCAUAGGUAUACGAAACAUACAGAUUGCUACAGACUGGUCUGCAGUUAACAGAUUCUGUUUUUGUUGUAUUGGUUGCUUAUUUUGAUGAAACUAUGGAUAGUAUCGGGGGGUAUUAGCCAUGGAAGAUUGAAAGCACAGUAAACCAACAUCAGCACAAGUAGAAUUUAAGUUUUCUACAGUACCUAAGGAAGUGGUGGUUUGCUUUCUUGUACUAAUGUUAUCGCUAGUUUCUGUUUAAGUUUCGUGUUGUGAAGUUUUCAAGUUUUGGGUGAAGUUCUUAUGGACAAAGAGAUAAAAGAGUGGCAAGAGCUCAAGCUUGGGGAUGCCCAAGGAACCCCAAGAGAUUCAAGGAUGAUGAAAAAGCCUAAGCUUGGGGAUGCCCCGGGAAGGCAUCCCCUCUCUCGUCUUCAAUCCGUCGGUAACGUUACUUGGGGCUAUGUUUUUAUUCACCACAUGUUAUGUGUUUUUUCUUGGAGCGUCUUGUAUCGUAGGGGUCUUUUAUUUUUGUUGUGUCACAAUCAUCCUUAGUGCACACCUAGAGAGAGAGAC
This 803-nucleotide long non-coding RNA is filed under the name Hordeum vulgare. Its description in RNAcentral is "long non-coding RNA (HVUL_LNC000955)". Lineage: Eukaryota; Viridiplantae; Streptophyta; Magnoliopsida; Poales; Poaceae. The record is from RNAcentral.